Non-coding RNA from Felis catus (domestic cat), 85 nucleotides. Lineage: Eukaryota; Metazoa; Chordata; Mammalia; Carnivora; Felidae. The record is from Rfam.
GCCUGGGUGGUUGAGUCGGUUAAGCGUCUGACUUUGGCUCAGGUCAUGAUCUCACGGUUCUCGAGUUCGAGCCCCGCCUCGGGCU